RNAcentral lists this transfer RNA (73 nucleotides) under Spirochaetales bacterium. RNAcentral's name for it is "tRNA-Trp". It matches the Rfam family "tRNA". Rfam says of the family: Transfer RNA (tRNA) molecules are approximately 80 nucleotides in length. Their secondary structure includes four short double-helical elements and three loops (D, anti-codon, and T loops). The record is from RNAcentral. RNAcentral also lists the same sequence under 1 other name. Lineage: Bacteria; Pseudomonadati; Spirochaetota; Spirochaetia; Spirochaetales.
AGGUCAGUAGCUCCAAUGGCAGAGCGCUGGUCUCCAAAACCAGAUGUUGUAGGUUCGAGUCCUACCUGGCCUG